Molecule: transfer RNA, 71 nt
Organism: Ovis aries (sheep)
Lineage: Eukaryota; Metazoa; Chordata; Mammalia; Artiodactyla; Bovidae
Rfam family: tRNA
About the family: Transfer RNA (tRNA) molecules are approximately 80 nucleotides in length. Their secondary structure includes four short double-helical elements and three loops (D, anti-codon, and T loops). Further hydrogen bonds mediate the characteristic L-shaped molecular structure. tRNAs have two regions of fundamental functional importance: the anti-codon, which is responsible for specific mRNA codon recognition, and the 3' end, to which the tRNAs corresponding amino acid is attached (by aminoacyl-tRNA synthetases). tRNAs cope with the degeneracy of the genetic code in two manners: having more than one tRNA (with a specific anti-codon) for a particular amino acid; and 'wobble' base-pairing, i.e. permitting non-standard base-pairing at the 3rd anti-codon position.
Source: Rfam
UCCUGACAGCUCAGAUGGUAAAGAAUCUGCCUGCAAUAUAGAAGGCCCUGGUUCAAUUCCUGGGUCAGGAA